UACAGAGGGUGCGAGCGUUUAAUCGGAAUGACUGGGCGUAAAGGGCGCGUAGGCGGUUAGAUAAGUGAGGUGAUAAAGACAUGGGCUUAACCUAUGGGUGACACCUUAGACUGUGUAACUAGAGACGAGGAGAGGGGAGUGGAAUUUCCGGAGGAGUGGUGAAAUACGUAGAUUUCGGAAGGAACACCGGAGGCGAAGGCGACUUUCUGGCCUUGUUCUGACGCUGAGGAGCGAAAGCGUGGGUAGCAAACAGG
RNAcentral lists this ribosomal RNA (254 nucleotides) under uncultured bacterium. RNAcentral describes it as "partial 16S ribosomal RNA". It matches the Rfam family "Bacterial small subunit ribosomal RNA", at positions 524 to 776 of the family's 1533-position model. The record is from RNAcentral.